Molecule: ribosomal RNA, 501 nt
Filed under: uncultured bacterium
Lineage: Bacteria
Description: partial 16S ribosomal RNA
Rfam family: Bacterial small subunit ribosomal RNA
Source: RNAcentral
AUUGAACGCUGGCGGCAGGCUUAACGCAUGCAAGUCGAGCGGAGAUGAGGUGCUUGCACCUUAUCUUAGCGGCGGACGGGUGAGUAAUGCUUAGGAAUCUGCCUAUUAGUGGGGGACAACAUUCCGAAAGGAAUGCUAAUACCGCAUACGUCCUACGGGAGAAAGCAGGGGAUCUUCGGACCUUGCGCUAAUAGAUGAGCCUAAGUCGGAUUAGCUAGUUGGUGGGGUAAAGGCCUACCAAGGCGACGAUCUGUAGCGGGUCUGAGAGGAUGAUCCGCCACACUGGGACUGAGACACGGCCCAGACUCCUACGGGAGGCAGCAGUGGGGAAUAUUGGACAAUGGGGGGAACCCUGAUCCAGCCAUGCCGCGUGUGUGAAGAAGGCCUUAUGGUUGUAAAGCACUUUAAGCGAGGAGGAGGCUACUGAGACUAAUACUCUUGGAUAGCGGACGUUACUCGCAGAAUAAGCACCGGCUAACUCUGUGCCAGCCGCCGCGGUAA